AGUAAGGAAACUUGCCCAAGGUUUCGCUCUGCCUGGAAUUGAACCCAGGUUGAAAUCUGAUUUUCACUAGCUUUUCACACCCUUGCUAAAAUGUUUUUGAAAUGGAAGCAAUUUAAUUGGAUAUUAAGUGGCGAGCAAAUUUUUUGUGAAAAAAAAAUAAUUUUCAUCAAGCUAAGCUCAGUACUUUAAGGAUCUGUUUAAAAUGAUAGAGUUAAAGUUAUUAGUGAAGACAUCAAUCCUUUCGCUGAGCUGUUCAGUCUAUAAAAUGGUUUCCAAGUGUGUUGGUUAAAUUGUUGGCAAAUGAAUGCAGCACAUUUAUACUGGUAAUAUAACAGAGCUCAACACCAAUCCAGAUGCGCAAUUUAAUAUACCCAUAACAUGAAAAGCUUGAUUUCCCACUUGCUAGAACUUCCUUGCUCAUUUCUUAUCUGUGACUUUAAUUAUAAUGCUGUCUAUAGUGCCUGCUAUGCCCAAGCAAGGUUUUAUUAAUUCAAGAGCAUUAACAGAGAGCAAAUAUCACCUUCUGCGUUGCCUGCAGGAGAAUUACAGCUUUUAUAACAAUAAGCACAAAAAACUCCUCUUUUACACUUUUGUGUUCAAAGCAACUAAUUCAUACCUAAACCUCCAAAACAAAUAAGAUUCAUUAUUCUUCAAUAUAAUUGUUGUACAAUAUAUCACACUUAUAUUUUAAGUAUCUAUUUGCUUAAAAAACUCAGUAAAUUAUCUUCUCUCUUUACGCAAAGAGCAACCCAAAGGAGAAUCUUCCUUGUGACUGAAGCAGAAUAAUGGUCUUGUUCCAGCAAUCUGGCAUUUAAUCUAUCCAUUUCCCCCCAAUAAAGGGAUGAUGUACUAUAAAAAAGCUGUUCCAGAAAAACAAAUGAAUCAGGACCAACACAUUCUCAAUCUAUAUCAGAUCUAGCUAAGACUUGAUGAUUCAGAUCCAAAAUGACAAGUUGUCUGAUUUGUCAGCAGUUCAUCAGAAUAGAACUGCAAUCCUGAGAGGGAAGAUGCAAAAGAUCUACCAAACCCAAACCUCAAUCACAAGCACUGCUGUUUCCUAAACACUGAUAAAACUAGAGGGCAAAGAGAGGCCAGGAUAGCAAGAUACUGCAGCAUUACAGAGAGCUCAGGCGAAAUAGCAGGUGGAGUCGUGACAGAAUACUUAACUUGUAAGGCUCUCCCUCAGAUUGUUUACAUGAUUUUACUGCAAUGUUCAGACUUCCCCUGCUAACACAUCCCAGCACUACAUGUGCACAAUGCUCGCUCUGGAUUUUCAGCGACUACCUGAAACUGGAAGAUUGGUUUUACCUGACCAGCUGCACAACCCCCAAUACUGCACUGGGGUGGGGGGUCAGCCUAGAUUAUGAUCUUAAGUCUUGCAUAGGGCGUGAAUGCACAAUCAUCUGACCCAGAGAAAAAAGGCUCAUAAAUGUAUAUAUGGGAUCUAUUACACGGUGAUUUCUAAUGGGAUUCUUCAAUAAGAAAACAAGGGAGGACUUUUGUUGAUAACAGGAAAUACAUCACACCAACUUGCAAGAACUUUGCUCUGAAAGCAGCUUGUUUUGAUCCCCGACUGUUCAGCGCCUUGGGACGUCCUCCCGACGUGAAAGAGGACAACUCGGUCUAUAUUAAUCCCUGGUAACGAGGAUGAAGCUCUGGCUCACGGGUCCAAAAUUGCAUGAGGCACACUUGGGUGGAGUUUCAUUCCUUGUAAGAGUUCUUUCUACAGCUGGGCAAGAUUGCAAACAGACAUUCCGUGCAAUGCUCUCACACAGCAACUAUUCAAAAUGCACCCUUGCAUGUGCAAAACAUAUGAGCAAACGGGCAGACUCCAUCAGACUGUCUGCAAAGAGCAAAAUCUAAUUUUUUGUGGUGGGGCUUAAAAGUGUAUUUUUUAAAUGUUUUGACUGUCAGAGAGACUUGUCACUGAGCUGCCAUCACUGCCCAUUGAACACCAACUGAUAAAUAAUUAUUUUGUUUUAAAGGAAAGCUGUGUUAAUGUACAUUGGCACAAAACCUGCUGGCAAGGGUACAUUUCAUUAUGGUAUACAAAUCAAGCUCAAUAAAUAUUCCCCACCCUUGA
Callorhinchus milii (elephant shark) is the source of this 2083-nucleotide long non-coding RNA. RefSeq lists it as uncharacterized. NCBI's taxonomy places the organism in Eukaryota, Metazoa, Chordata, Chondrichthyes, Chimaeriformes, Callorhinchidae. The transcript is spliced from 5 exons. The record is from RefSeq and is a predicted model, not a curated record.